Molecule: long non-coding RNA, 1222 nt
Organism: Peromyscus leucopus (white-footed mouse)
Lineage: Eukaryota; Metazoa; Chordata; Mammalia; Rodentia; Cricetidae
Exons: 6
Source: RefSeq, a predicted model, not a curated record
GGGGAAGCUAGGAGCACUGCAGGAGCGAGAAGCCAAGAUGCUUUCCUGAGCCUGCCGCCUUCCCUCUGCAAAGCUGUCUUUCUAGAUAAUAGUCAGCACACUGGAGCAAUUAGCAAUGGAUGGAAGAAUCAGACUUCUGCUCUCAUGGAGCUCUCGUGCUGGCAGGGUCUCAUCCCCAUUGUAAACGCCAAGCUAGCUGGUCCAUGAACCUCUGGGGAUUCUCCUGUCGCCAUCACAGUAGACAUGCUGGAAUUACAGAUGUGUGCUGUAACUUCCAGCUUCACGUGAGCACUGGAGAGCUGAAUUCCCGUCCUCACCUUUACAUGGCAAGUGCUUUACCCUGGAACCAUCUCCCCAGCACAAGGGACUUGACUUUUAUUUCAACUGGAAACCAUGAAAGAACUUUCAGCAGGAGUAUCCUGACUGUGCUUGUGUUUACAAUCCAUCUCAGAUGUUCCCUUGUCCCCGCAGCUGUCCCACAGGAACCUGUCAUUUGUCAGCAGUGUGUCUUCAGCACUCUGUAAACAUUUCCUAGAUGGACACACUAAGCCACUCGAUUUCAAAUGCUGACCAAGGAACUGUGCUGAACUCCUGAUGACUCCUGACUCUUCUUACCUGUUCUUCAUCAAAAACUUGUUAGAAAUUUUAUUACAUAUGAAUAAAUUGCAAAGACGCCAUCUGGAAUGAGUAUAGAGUUCCUAUGUAAACAGUUUCAGAGUCUCUUUUAAAACAAGAAGAUGUUUCUUGGCUGAUUUGUUUAAAAUGCUGAGGCUUUAGUAUCUCUGUUUGAGAAACUCUGUCUGAGCCAGGAAUGACUUAUGGCUAACAGGGAACUAAAUCUGCUAUCUGUUUAAUUGUGAAACUGUUGAAUUAUGUAGCUUCCAGAUACUGUCUUUGAUAGCAUGCUGAAGUUGUAAAGUAUAAAAACUGGAUAUUUAUUUUUUAUAUAUUCACAUCAGCAUCAUAGGUCAUUUUUAAAGCGACUUUUCUUAUUUUGGGUCUGCUGGUCUUACCACUGGAAUUUUUCAAACCCUCUGAUCUCAAGUCUUCCAUUCCAAGUAGUAACUGUGAAGUUCAUCCUGCAUUGUGUCCACAGCCUGAGCAGCAACCAUUUUGCCUGCACUGCACACUCCAUGGCCCCUGGAGUACGGCUGUGCAGUGAACUAUCCUAUGGGGCUGGAGAGAUGCUCAGCAGUUAAGAGCACUUGCUGCUCCUGCAGAG